This 93-nucleotide ribosomal RNA is filed under the name Paramormyrops kingsleyae. The record is from RNAcentral. Lineage: Eukaryota; Metazoa; Chordata; Actinopteri; Osteoglossiformes; Mormyridae.
UUUUGUGAUUAUAUCCAUCUGAAGCUAAGCAUGUUUGAGCCUGGAUGGUACUUGGAUGGGAGACCAGCUAGGAAAGCUGGGUUGCCUCUCAAG